AUGCAAAAUGCAGAAAUCUGGAUCCACCGUCAACCCCGACGGCACCCAUCGGUCCAACAAAGUCUAACUCUACUGUAACAACACACUCGGCUCCUCAGCGCGAACGUAAACUCAACCUACACUCAUCCGAGUAUCCUCCUCGGACUAAUAAUGGUGAUAUAGAAAUCUGGGUCCACCGUCAACCUCGACGGCACCCGACAGUCCAAACGCUACUG
This 215-nucleotide long non-coding RNA is filed under the name Ananas comosus (pineapple). Its description in RNAcentral is "long non-coding RNA (ACOM_LNC003222)". The record is from RNAcentral. Lineage: Eukaryota; Viridiplantae; Streptophyta; Magnoliopsida; Poales; Bromeliaceae.